CAGUAGCCGCGGUAAUCCGGAGGGUGCAAGCGUUAUCCGGAUUUAUUGGGUUUAAAGGGUCCGUAGGCGGAUCUGUAAGUCAGUGGUGAAAUCUCACAGCUUAACUGUGAAACUGCCAUUGAUACUGCAGGUCUUGAGUAAAUUUGAAGUGGCUGGAAUAAGUAGUGUAGCGGUGAAAUGCAUAGAUAUUACUUAGAACACCAAUUGCGAAGGCAGGUCACUAAGAUUUAACUGACGCUGAUGGACGAAAGCGUGGGGAGCGAACAGGAUUAGAGACCCCUGUAGUCCCUGUCUCUUAUAC
This 301-nucleotide ribosomal RNA is filed under the name uncultured bacterium. Its description in RNAcentral is "partial 16S ribosomal RNA". It matches the Rfam family "Bacterial small subunit ribosomal RNA", at positions 509 to 807 of the family's 1533-position model. The record is from RNAcentral.